AGGAACGAAAGCAUGGGUAGCGAAGAGGAUUAGAUACCCUCGUAGUCCAUGCCGUAAACGAUGUGUGUUAGACGUUGGAAAUUUAUUUUCAGUGUCGCAGGGAAACCGAUAAACACACCGCCUGGGGAGUACGACCGCAAGGUUAAAACUCAAAUGAAUUGACGGGGACCCGCACAAGUAGUGGAGCAUGUGGUUUAAUUCGAAGAUACGCGCAGAACCUUACCAACACUUGACAUGUUCGUCGCGACUCUAAGAGAUUAGAGUUUUCGGUUCGGCCGGACGAAACACAGGUGCUGCAUGGCUGUCGUCAGCUCGUGUCGUGAGAUGUUGGGUUAAGUCCCGCAACGAGCGCAACCCUCACUUUUAGUUGCCAUCAUUAAGUUGGGCACUCUGAAAGAACUGCCAGUGAUAAGCUGGAGGAAGGUGGGGAUGACGUCAAGUCCUCAUGGCCCUUAUGUGUUGGGCUACACACGUGCUACAAUGGCAUCUACAACAGGAAGCAAAACGGCAACGUUAAGCAAAUCCCGAAAAGAUGCCUCAGUUCGGAUUGCACUCUGCAACUCGAGUGCAUGAAGCUGGAAUUACUAGUAAUCGUGGAUCAGCGUGCCACGGUGAAUGCGUUCCCGGGUCUUGUACACACCGCCCGUCACACCAUGGGAGUUGGUUCUACCUUAAGGCAAGGUUUCAAACCCUUGACCACGGUAUAGUCAGCGACUGGGGUGAAGUCGUAACAAGGUAACCGUA
RNAcentral lists this ribosomal RNA (744 nucleotides) under uncultured bacterium. RNAcentral describes it as "bacterial SSU rRNA". It matches the Rfam family "Bacterial small subunit ribosomal RNA", at positions 749 to 1504 of the family's 1533-position model. The record is from RNAcentral.